UUUUGUAGUGGCAAUGGACUCUGCCUGACCUCAUUACGUCGAACCGCGAUCCUUCGGGGCGCUGAUGAUUCCUACCUCGCA
This 81-nucleotide non-coding RNA is filed under the name Gluconobacter morbifer G707. RNAcentral describes it as "Fluoride riboswitch aptamer (crcB RNA motif)". It matches the Rfam family "Fluoride riboswitch aptamer (crcB RNA motif)". The record is from Rfam by way of RNAcentral. Lineage: Bacteria; Pseudomonadati; Pseudomonadota; Alphaproteobacteria; Acetobacterales; Acetobacteraceae.